AGAGUUUGAUCCUGGCUGAGAGUGAACGCUGGCGGCGUGCCUAACACAUGCAAGUCUAACGAGAACGGGUUUAGUUUACUAAACUGUCAGCUAAGUGGCGCACGGGUGAGUAAUAUAUAGUUAACCUGCCCCAAAGAAGAGAAUAAUUGUUGGAAACGACUUGUAAUGCUCUAUAUGCCUUUAAGACAUAAGUCUGCAAGGGAAAUAUUUAUAGCUUUGGGAUGGGACUGUACGGUAUCAGCUUGUUGGUGAGGUAAUGGCUCACCAAGGCUAUGACGCCUAACUGGUUUGAGAGGAUGAUCAGUCACACUGGAACUGAGACACGGUCCAGACUCCUACGGGAGGCAGCAGUGGGGAAUAUUGCACAAUGGAGGAAACUCUGAUGCAGCAACGCCGCGUGGAGGAUGACACAUUUCGGUGCGUAAACUCCUUUUAUAUGAGAAGAUAAUGACGGUAUCAUAUGAAUAAGCACCGGCUAACUCCGUGCCAGCAGCCGCGGUAAUACGGGGGGUGCAAGCGUUACUCGGAAUCACUGGGCGUAAAGAGCAUGUAGGCUGGUUUGUAAGUUGGAAGUGAAAUCCUAUGGCUUAACCAUAGAACUGCUUCCAAAACUGCAGACCUAGAAUAUGGGAGAGGUAGAUGGAAUUUCUGGUGUAGGGGUAAAAUCCGUAG
Molecule: ribosomal RNA, 672 nt
Filed under: uncultured bacterium
Lineage: Bacteria
Description: bacterial SSU rRNA
Rfam family: Bacterial small subunit ribosomal RNA
Source: RNAcentral